GACGAACGCUGGCGGCGUGCCUAAUACAUGCAAGUAGAACGCUGAAGGAGGAGCUUGCUCUUCUGGAUGAGUUGCGAACGGGUGAGUAACGCGUAGGUAACCUGCCUGGUAGCGGGGGAUAACUAUUGGAAACGAUAGCUAAUACCGCAUAAGAGUAGAUGUUGCAUGACAUUUACUUAAAAGGUGCAAUUGCAUCACUACCAGAUGGACCUGCGUUGUAUUAGCUAGUUGGUGGGGUACGGCUUACCAAGGCGACGAUACAUAGCCGACCUGAGAGGGUGAUCGGCCACACUGGGACUGAGACACGGCCCAGACUCCUACGGGAGGCAGCAGUAGGGAAUCUUCGGCAAUGGACGGAAGUCUGACCGAGCAACGCCGCGUGAGUGAAGAAGGUUUUCGGAUCGUAAAGCUCUGUUGUAAGAGAAGAACGAGUGUGAGAGUGGAAAGUUCACACUGUGACGGUAUCUUACCAGAAAGGGACGGCUAACUACGUG
RNAcentral lists this ribosomal RNA (494 nucleotides) under uncultured bacterium. RNAcentral describes it as "partial 16S ribosomal RNA". It matches the Rfam family "Bacterial small subunit ribosomal RNA", at positions 28 to 507 of the family's 1533-position model. The record is from RNAcentral.